Molecule: ribosomal RNA, 497 nt
Filed under: uncultured bacterium
Lineage: Bacteria
Description: partial 16S ribosomal RNA
Rfam family: Bacterial small subunit ribosomal RNA
Source: RNAcentral
GAUGAACGCUGGCGGCGUGCCUAAUACAUGCAAGUCGAGCGAACAGACGAGGAGCUUGCUCCUCUGACGUUAGCGGCGGACGGGUGAGUAACACGUGGAUAACCUACCUAUAAGACUGGGAUAACUUCGGGAAACCGGAGCUAAUACCGGAUAAUAUAUUGAACCGCAUGGUUCAAUAGUGAAAGACGGUUUUGCUGUCACUUAUAGAUGUAUCCGCGCCGCAUUAGCUAGUUGGUAAGGUAACGGCUUACCAAGGCAACGAUGCGUAGCCGACCUGAGAGGGUGAUCGGCCACACUGGAACGGAGACACGGUCCAGACUACUACGGGAGGCAGCAGUAGGGAAUGUUCCGCAAUGGGCGAAAGCAUGACGGAGCAACGCCGCGUGAGUGAUGAAGGUCUUCGGAUCGUAAAACUCUGUUAUUAGGGAAGAACAAAUGUGUAAGUAACUAUGCACGUCUUGACGGUACCUAAUCAGAAAGCCACGGCUAACUACGUG